UUUUAGACCCCUAUGUGGUAGAGUGCAUGCAUGUGAGACUUAGCAUUCUAGUUAUGAUUGGGAACCAUGAUCCCUAUUAUGAAAACGGAUCUUGCUCUCUUGCAUUUAACCUAUAUGCCAAUUGGGACAUUAGGAAUUUUAGAAGCCUAGAGAGGGCUUGAGAACUUGGACUAUUUGAGAAUUGGGCCAAUGUCAUAAAGAGGCAUUGGGCCCGGGCUAUAGUAGUCAUUAGUAUUAAUGUUUAAAUGAAACAUAGAACAAGAAUUGAGCUUGAUCAGUGUGAUGCUUAAGUGUCAUAAAGAGGCACUAAGCAAGUGAGUGUUGGGACAUCACUUAGAGACAUUGGGCUAGAUCCUUGGGAUGCUAGUGACCUUGCCAUGUUAGAGACAUGCGGAUAGAGUAUUUGAGACAGUGACCUUGCUUGUUUGCCAUUUGUGCUCAUUCGCACAUGCUUGUGAGGGUCGCUCCCUACAAGCCGGCACUCCGGAGUUAGCCUACGCGACCUAUGUUCGCUCGUGCGGUAUUGAGAAGCCUACGGGGUCGAGUGGGACAGACACAUUCCAAGAGUAGGGAUGUCGGGCUACCACAGGCACUUAGGCGGCACAAGCUGGACUACCUUUGGUAGGUCCUUAAUUGGAAAUGGAAAUCGACACGGUGUUGAGUUUAUUAUGAUCACUACUAGUCAGAGAGUAGUAGUAGGAUUACUUGGACUUACUUCUAGCAUAGUUGUGGACAUUUGGGUAUUCAUACAUACAUGUAGUAUGCUAGGAGAUGUUGUUUAUUGCAUCCUUAUAUGCAUUGUAGUCAUGACCAAGUAUUACUUUCAUAUCUGUAUAAAGUAAAGCAUGAUAUUACUUGUGAACAUAUAUAUCCAUGACAAGAUAAAGUCGCAUUAGGAAUGCCAUGUUUAAUUGCAAGUUGUAGCUUAGCAUCCUAAUUAUUAUGCUUUCUAAUAUGCAAUUUACU
Molecule: long non-coding RNA, 966 nt
Filed under: Ananas comosus (pineapple)
Lineage: Eukaryota; Viridiplantae; Streptophyta; Magnoliopsida; Poales; Bromeliaceae
Description: long non-coding RNA (ACOM_LNC037933)
Source: RNAcentral